Long non-coding RNA from Vigna radiata var. radiata (mung bean), 286 nucleotides. RefSeq lists it as uncharacterized. Lineage: Eukaryota; Viridiplantae; Streptophyta; Magnoliopsida; Fabales; Fabaceae. The record is from RefSeq and is a predicted model, not a curated record. The transcript is spliced from 3 exons.
AAGAUAGAAAAUGAUGAGGAAAUUACAUGAGAGAAGGCUACUCAGUCCAUAAAAAGGGCUUCUCAUUACCUGUCAGCACUUCAAACUAGUGAUGGUCAUUGGCCCGCUCAACUUGGUGGUUCUAACUUCUUCAUUCCUAUAAUGAUCAUCUCCAUCUACAGUACAGGACAUCUUGAUUCUGUAAUUUCAGAAGAACAUCGUAAAGAAAUUCUCCGUUACGUAUAUAAUCAUCAGAACGAAGAUGGAGGGUGGGGAUUACACAUAGAGGGUCCAAGCACCAUGUAUU